UUUGGUUAAGUUAGAAAGGGCGCACGGUGGAUGCCUUGACACUAGGAGUCGAUGAAGGACGGGACUAACGCCGAUAUGCUUCGGGGAGCUGUAAGUAAGCUUUGAUCCGAAGAUUUCCGAAUGGGGAAACCCACCAUACGUAAUGGUAUGGUAUCCUUAUCUGAAUACAUAGGGUAAGGAAGACAGACCCAGGGAACUGAAACAUCUAAGUACCUGGAGGAAGAGAAAGCAAAUGCGAUUUCCUGAGUAGCGGCGAGCGAAACGGAACAUAGCCCAAACCAAGAGGCUUGCCUCUUGGGGUUGUAGGACAUUCUAUACGGAGUUACAAAGGAACGAGGUAGACGAAGCGACCUGGAAAGGUCCGUCGUAGAGGGUAACAACCCCGUAGUCGAAACUUCGUUCUCUCUUGAAUGUAUCCUGAGUACGGCGGAACACGUGAAAUUCCGUCGGAAUCUGGGAGGACCAUCUCCCAAGGCUAAAUACUCCCUAGUGAUCGAUAGUGAACCAGUACCGUGAGGGAAAGGUGAAAAGCACCCCGGAAGGGGAGUGAAAGAGAUCCUGAAACCGUGUGCCUACAAAUAGUCAGAGCCCGUUAAUGGGUGAUGGUGUGCCUUUUGUAGAAUGAACCGGCGAGUUACGAUCCCGUGCGAGGUUAAGCUGAAGAGGCGGAGCCGCAGCGAAAGCGAGUCUGAAUAGGGCGUUUAGUACGUGGUCGUAGACCCGAAACCAGGUGAUCUACCCAUGUCCAGGGUGAAGUUCAGGUAACACUGAAUGGAGGCCCGAACCCACGCACGUUGAAAAGUGCGGGGAUGAGGUGUGGGUAGCGGAGAAAUUCCAAUCGAACCUGGAGAUAGCUGGUUCUCCCCGAAAUAGCUUUAGGGCUAGCCUUAAGUGUAAGAGUCUUGGAGGUAGAGCACUGAUUGGACUAGGGGUCCUCAUCGGAUUACCGAAUUCAGUCAAACUCCGAAUGCCAAUGACUUAUCCUUAGGAGUCAGACUGCGAGUGAUAAGAUCCGUAGUCAAAAGGGAAACAGCCCAGACCGCCAGCUAAGGUCCCAAAGUGUGUAUUAAGUGGAAAAGGAUGUGGAGUUGCUUAGACAACUAGGAUGUUGGCUUAGAAGCAGCCACCAUUUAAAGAGUGCGUAAUAGCUCACUAGUCGAGUGACUCUGCGCCGAAAAUGUACCGGGGCUAAAUACACCACCGAAGCUGCGGAUUGAUACCAAUGGUAUCAGUGGUAGGGGAGCGUUCUAAGGACAGUGAAGUCAGACCGGAAGGACUGGUGGAGUGCUUAGAAGUGAGAAUGCCGGUAUGAGUAGCGAAAGACGGGUGAGAAUCCCGUCCACCGAAUGCCUAAGGUUUCCUGAGGAAGGCUCGUCCGCUCAGGGUUAGUCAGGACCUAAGCCGAGGCCGACAGGCGUAGGCGAUGGACAACAGGUUGAUAUUCCUGUACCACCUCUUUAUCGUUUGAGCAAUGGAGGGACGCAGAAGGAUAGAAGAAGCGUGCGAUUGGUUGUGCACGUCCAAGCAGUUAGGCUGAUAAGUAGGCAAAUCCGCUUAUCGUGAAGGCUGAGCUGUGAUGGGGAAGCUCCUUAUGGAGCGAAGUCUUUGAUUCCCCGCUGCCAAGAAAAGCUUCUAGCGAGAUAAAAGGUGCCUGUACCGCAAACCGACACAGGUAGGCGAGGAGAGAAUCCUAAGGUGUGCGAGAGAACUCUGGUUAAGGAACUCGGCAAAAUGACCCCGUAACUUCGGGAGAAGGGGUGCUUUCUUAACGGAAAGCCGCAGUGAAUAGGCCCAAGCGACUGUUUAGCAAAAACACAGCUCUCUGCGAAGCCGUAAGGCGAAGUAUAGGGGGUGACACCUGCCCGGUGCUGGAAGGUUAAGGAGAGGGGUUAGCGUAAGCGAAGCUCUGAACUGAAGCCCCAGUAAACGGCGGCCGUAACUAUAACGGUCCUAAGGUAGCGAAAUUCCUUGUCGGGUAAGUUCCGACCCGCACGAAAGGUGUAACGAUUUGGGCACUGUCUCAACCAGAGACUCGGUGAAAUUAUAGUACCUGUGAAGAUGCAGGUUACCCGCGACAGGACGGAAAGACCCCGUGGAGCUUUACUGUAGCCUGAUAUUGAAUUUUGGUACAGUUUGUACAGGAUAGGCGGGAGCCUUUGAAACCGGAGCGCUAGCUUCGGUGGAGGCGCUGGUGGGAUACCGCCCUGACUGUAUUGAAAUUCUAACCUACGGGUCUUAUCGACCCGGGAGACAGUGUCAGGUGGGCAGUUUGACUGGGGCGGUCGCCUCCUAAAGUGUAACGGAGGCGCCCAAAGGUUCCCUCAGAAUGGUUGGAAAUCAUUCGUAGAGUGCAAAGGCAUAAGGGAGCUUGACUGCGAGACCUACAAGUCGAGCAGGGACGAAAGUCGGGCUUAGUGAUCCGGUGGUUCCGCAUGGAAGGGCCAUCGCUCAACGGAUAAAAGCUACCCCGGGGAUAACAGGCUUAUCUCCCCCAAGAGUCCACAUCGACGGGGAGGUUUGGCACCUCGAUGUCGGCUCAUCGCAUCCUGGGGCUGUAGUCGGUCCCAAGGGUUGGGCUGUUCGCCCAUUAAAGCGGUACGCGAGCUGGGUUCAGAACGUCGUGAGACAGUUCGGUCCCUAUCCGUCGUGGGCGUAGGAAAUUUGAGAGGAGCUGUCCUUAGUACGAGAGGACCGGGAUGGACGCACCGCUGGUGUACCAGUUGUUCUGCCAAGGGCAUAGCUGGGUAGCUAUGUGCGGAAGGGAUAAGUGCUGAAAGCAUCUAAGCAUGAAGCCCCCUCAAGAUGAGAUUUCCCAUAGCGUAAGCUAGUAAGAUCCCUGAAAGAUGAUCAGGUUGAUAGGUUCGAGGUGGAAGCAUGGUGACAUGUGGAGCUGACGAAUACUAAUAGAUCGAGGACUUAACCAUAUAA
Molecule: ribosomal RNA, 2928 nt
Filed under: Bacillus anthracis (anthrax bacterium)
Lineage: Bacteria; Bacillati; Bacillota; Bacilli; Caryophanales; Bacillaceae
Description: bacterial LSU rRNA
Rfam family: Bacterial large subunit ribosomal RNA
Source: RNAcentral